Molecule: long non-coding RNA, 788 nt
Organism: Oncorhynchus tshawytscha (Chinook salmon)
Lineage: Eukaryota; Metazoa; Chordata; Actinopteri; Salmoniformes; Salmonidae
Source: Ensembl
UAGCCUAGUGGUUAGAGUGUAGAGGAGGCAGGUAGCCUAGUGGUUAGAGUGUAGAGGAGGCAGGUAGCCUAGUGGUUAGAGUGUAGAGGGGGCAGGUAGCCUAGUGGUUAGAGUGUAGAGGCAGGCAGCCUAGUGGUUAGAGUGUAGAGGCAGGCAGCCUAGUGGUUAGAGUGUAGAGGGGGCAGGGUAGCCUAGUGGUUAGAGGGUAGAGGCAGGUAGCCUAGUGGUUAGAGUGUAGAGGCAGCAGGUAGCCUAGUGGUUAGAGUGUAGAGGCGGCAGGGUAGCCUAGUGGUUAGAGUGUAGAGGUGGCAGGCAGCCUAGUGGUUAGAGUGUAGAGGCGGCAGGGUAGCAUAGUGGUUAGAGUAUAGAGGGGGCAGGUAGCCUAGUGGUUAGAGUGUAGAGGGGGCAGGUAGCCUAGUGGUUAGAGUGUAGAGGCGGCAGGGUAGCCUAGUGGUUAGAGUGUAGAGGUGGCAGGCAGCCUAGUGGUUAGAGGGGAGAGGCAGGCAGUCUAGUGGUUAGAGUGUAGAGGUGGCAGGUAGCCUAGUGGUUAGAGGGGAGAGGCGGCAGGUAGCCUAGUGGUUAGAGUGUAGAGGUGGCAGGCAGCCUAGUGGUAGAGUGCAGAGGUGGCAGGUAGCCUAGUGGUUAGAGGGGAGAGGCGGCAGGUAGCCUAGUGGUUAGAGUGUAGGGGCGGCAGGUAGCCUAGUGGAUAGAGUGCAGAGGUGGCAGGCAGCCUAGUGGUUAGAGCGUUGGGUCCACUAACCGAAAGGUUGCUAGAUCGAAUCCCCCGA